Eptesicus fuscus (big brown bat) is the source of this 542-nucleotide long non-coding RNA. RefSeq lists it as uncharacterized. The transcript has 4 exons. Lineage: Eukaryota; Metazoa; Chordata; Mammalia; Chiroptera; Vespertilionidae. The record is from RefSeq and is a predicted model, not a curated record.
GGAACUAAUAAAAGGAUCAGCCAGUAAUAAAAGGAUAAGAAGCUACUGACUCAAGAAGUUGGGUCCAAAGCCAGUUUAAAACUCCAUUUUGCAGUAGCCUUGGGAGCUGAGCCAAGACUUGUCUCUGCCUCCAGGACAGCAAUUGUGAAAAUCAUGGUUGGUAGAACCCUACAGGUAAUCAAAAAGGGGGUUAGAUUUUUCUUUCUUCCAUAUCUAAGACAAAAAGAUAUUGCUAACAUCGAUACUGCUAACAUCACUUGCCAAGAGUCGGGUCAUUUCUGUGAAGAUUUAGAAGUAACAAGAGAAAUUAGGUGGAUUCCAUCUGCCUCAGGACCUAAAUCAGGCUGUUGGCAUUAGCUGACUAAAGCUGAAAAGAGAAAAGCUCAUGUAAAGACACAGAGAGAAGGCAGCCUACUGCAAGCCAACGGGAGGCUCCAAUCCUCUGGAACACACAUCUUAUAAAGGAAUUAAAAAAACACACAAAACAACCAGGAUAAUAUCUAUCCGGGAAGGAGUGAAGAGGAGUCUUUAACUUGAGAUAG